GACGAACGCUGGCGGCGUGCUUAACACAUGCAAGUCGAACGGAAAGGCCCUGCUUUUGUGGGGUGCUCGAGUGGCGAACGGGUGAGUAACACGUGAGUAACCUGCCCUUGACUUUGGGAUAACUUCAGGAAACUGGGGCUAAUACCGGAUAGGAGCUCCUGCUGCAUGGUGGGGGUUGGAAAGUUUCGGCGGUUGGGGCUGGACUCGCGGCUUAUCAGCUUGUUGGUGGGGUAGUGGCUUACCAAGGCUUUGACGGGUAGCCGGCCUGAGAGGGUGACCGGCCACAUUGGGACUGAGAUACGGACCAGACUCCUACGGGAGGCAGCAGUGGGGAAUAUUGCACAAUGGGCGGAAGCCUGAUGCAGCAACGCCGCGUGCGUGAUGCCGGCCUUCGGGUUGUAAACCGCUUUCGCCUGUGACGAAGCGUGAGUGACGGUAAUGGGUAAAGAAGCACCGGCUAACUACGUG
RNAcentral lists this ribosomal RNA (468 nucleotides) under uncultured bacterium. Its description in RNAcentral is "partial 16S ribosomal RNA". It matches the Rfam family "Bacterial small subunit ribosomal RNA", at positions 28 to 507 of the family's 1533-position model. The record is from RNAcentral.